GCGUCCGUAGCCCAACGGCAGAGGCACCGGUCUCAGGUACCGGACGGUGCGGGUUCGAAUCCCGCCGGACGUA
Molecule: transfer RNA, 73 nt
Filed under: Nonomuraea sp. NBC_00507
Lineage: Bacteria; Bacillati; Actinomycetota; Actinomycetes; Streptosporangiales; Streptosporangiaceae
Also listed under: 2 other names
Description: tRNA-Leu
Rfam family: tRNA
About the family: Transfer RNA (tRNA) molecules are approximately 80 nucleotides in length. Their secondary structure includes four short double-helical elements and three loops (D, anti-codon, and T loops). Further hydrogen bonds mediate the characteristic L-shaped molecular structure. tRNAs have two regions of fundamental functional importance: the anti-codon, which is responsible for specific mRNA codon recognition, and the 3' end, to which the tRNAs corresponding amino acid is attached (by aminoacyl-tRNA synthetases). tRNAs cope with the degeneracy of the genetic code in two manners: having more than one tRNA (with a specific anti-codon) for a particular amino acid; and 'wobble' base-pairing, i.e. permitting non-standard base-pairing at the 3rd anti-codon position.
Source: RNAcentral